AUUGAACGCUGGCGGCAUGCCUUACACAUGCAAGUCGAACGGUAACAGGUUAAGCUGACGAGUGGCGAACGGGUGAGUAAUACAUCGGAACGUGCCCAGUAGUGGGGGAUAGCCCGGCGAAAGCCGGAUUAAUACCGCAUACGACCUAAGGGUGAAAGGGGGGGAUCGCAAGACCUCUCGCUAUUGGAGCGGCCGAUGUCAGAUUAGCUAGUUGGUGGGGUAAAAGCUCACCAAGGCGACGAUCUGUAGCUGGUCUGAGAGGACGACCAGCCACACUGGGACUGAGACACGGCCCAGACUCCUACGGGAGGCAGCAGUGGGGAAUUUUGGACAAUGGGCGCAAGCCUGAUCCAGCCAUGCCGCGUGCGGGAAGAAGGCCUUCGGGUUGUAAACCGCUUUUGUCAGGGAAGAAAUCCUUUGGGUUAAUACCUCGGGGGGAUGACGGUACCUGAAGAAUAAGUACCGGCUAACUACGUG
RNAcentral lists this ribosomal RNA (477 nucleotides) under uncultured bacterium. RNAcentral describes it as "partial 16S ribosomal RNA". It matches the Rfam family "Bacterial small subunit ribosomal RNA", at positions 30 to 507 of the family's 1533-position model. The record is from RNAcentral.